CAUCAGCUACGCGCAGUGCCAGCCACACUGCUGUCUGCCUGUGCGCCUGGGUGCAUACAACUACGCCGUGUUGAUAGUGGGCAGAAAGGCAAUACUCAGCACACCACUGAGGAAUCUGUAAGUAAAUAAGAAAACAGAUGGAUUUGGUAUUUAACACGCUUAGCAGAGACUAAUGCAAAAGAAGUAGACAGUGUGGAAGAACUAAAUCAGCCUGAGCACCUGCUGCGUACUGUCUGCCGGACUGCUGAUGGAUGAGCUGUACCUGACACAGAAAUUAUCUGCCUUGGUAAAUGUCAAGGACCUGAAUAUCUUAAGCAGUCAAGAGUUGGAGUGACAUGGGCUGGAAGGUUUACCUGGGAAUUUCUUAAUUGGAUUCGGCUUAGUUGGAAUGUAUCGCAGAAGGGACAGAAUUGACCUCCGGGGAGCAGAUUACAAAAGGUGGCUGCACAUCUGUUUCUACGCUGAGAACUGCUAAACUCAGUACAACUAUGUGUGCAUAUACUCAGCUCUGAACUGCAGUUCUGAACUCUGCAGAACUGGAUGUUAUUAUAUUGCAGGACCAUACAGCACUCUGCGCUGCUGACUGAAGCCAGCUUUGGACCAGAUUGGCUACAAUGCUAUUCAUGCAUUCUCUGAUGACAGCAGCAUAGAAAACAAACAAAAAGAAGUAGGAGAAAAUCUUUUGUUCAGCAGUCG
This is a long non-coding RNA of Grus americana (Whooping crane), 696 nucleotides long. RefSeq lists it as uncharacterized. NCBI's taxonomy places the organism in Eukaryota, Metazoa, Chordata, Aves, Gruiformes, Gruidae. The transcript is spliced from 3 exons. The record is from RefSeq and is a predicted model, not a curated record.